AGCUUGCUUCUAUGACGUUAGCGGCGGACGGGUGAGUAACACGUGGGCAACCUGCCUGUAAGACUGGGAUAACUUCGGGAAACCGAAGCUAAUACCGGAUAGGAUCUUCUCCUUCAUGGGGGAUGAUUGAAAGAUGGUUUCGGCUAUCACUUACAGAUGGGCCCGCGGUGCAUUAGCUAGUUGGUGAGGUAACGGCUCACCAAGGCAACGAUGCAUAGCCGACCUGAGAGGGUGAUCGGCCACACUGGGACUGAGACACGGCCCAGACUCCUACGGGAGGCAGCAGUAGGGAAUCUUCCGCAAUGGACGAAAGUCUGACGGAGCAACGCCGCGUGAGUGAUGAAGGCUUUCGGGUCGUAAAACUCUGUUGUUAGGGAAGAACAAGUACGAGAGUAACUGCUCGUACCUUGACGGUACCUAACCAGAAAGCCACGGCUAACUACGUGCCAGCAGCCGCGGUAAUACGUAGGUGGCAAGCGUUAUCCGGAAUUAUUGGGCGUAAAGCGCGCGCAGGCGGUUUCUUAAGUCUGAUGUGAAAGCCCACGGCUCAACCGUGGAGGGUCAUUGGAAACUGGGGAACUUGAGUGCAGAAGAGAAAAGC
RNAcentral lists this ribosomal RNA (601 nucleotides) under Priestia aryabhattai. Its description in RNAcentral is "bacterial SSU rRNA". It matches the Rfam family "Bacterial small subunit ribosomal RNA", at positions 77 to 662 of the family's 1533-position model. The record is from RNAcentral. Lineage: Bacteria; Bacillati; Bacillota; Bacilli; Caryophanales; Bacillaceae.